UACGUAGGCAGCGAGCGUUGUUCGGAAUUACUGGGCGUAAAGAGUGUGUAGGCGGUGCUCUAAGUUCGGUGUGAAAUCUCCUGGCUCAACUGGGAGGGUGCGCCGGAAACUGGAGUGCUUGAGCGUGGGAGAGGAAAGCGGAAUUCCGGGUGGAGUGGUGAAAUGCGUAGAGAUCCGGAGGAACACCAAAGGACGAAGGCAGUGUCCUGGGGAGUACCUGACGCUCAGGUGCGAAAGCCAGGGGAGCGAACGGG
This 254-nucleotide ribosomal RNA is filed under the name uncultured bacterium. Its description in RNAcentral is "partial 16S ribosomal RNA". It matches the Rfam family "Bacterial small subunit ribosomal RNA", at positions 524 to 776 of the family's 1533-position model. The record is from RNAcentral.